AAUACCUGAUGGUAUGAUGAGAUUGCAUGAUAGCAUCAUUAAAGAUUUAUCGGUGUACGAUGGGGAUGCGUUCCAUUAGGUAGUAGGCGGGGUAACGGCCCACCUAGCCAACGAUGGAUAGGGGUUCUGAGAGGAAGGUCCCCCACAUUGGAACUGAGACACGGUCCAAACUCCUACGGGAGGCAGCAGUGAGGAAUAUUGGUCAAUGGACGAGAGUCUGAACCAGCCAAGUAGCGUGAAGGAUGAAGGUCCUACGGAUUGUAAACUUCUUUUAUAAGGGAAUAAACCCUCCCACGUGUGGGAGCUUGUAUGUACCUUAUGAAUAAGCAUCGGCUAACUCCGUGCCAGCAGCCGCGGUAAUACGGAGGAUGCGAGCGUUAUCCGGAUUUAUUGGGUUUGAAGGGAGCGCAGACGGGUCGUUAAGUCAGCUGUGAAUGUUUGGGGCUCAACCUUAAAAUUGCAGUUGAUACUGGCGUCCUUGAGUGCGGUUGAGGUGUGCGGAAUUCGUGGUGUAGCGGUGAAAUGCUUAGAUAUCACGAAGAACUCCGAUUGCGAAGGCAGCACACUAAUCCGUAACUGACGUUCAUGCUCGAAAGUGUGGGUAUCAAACAGGAUUAGAUACCC
This 624-nucleotide ribosomal RNA is filed under the name uncultured bacterium. RNAcentral describes it as "bacterial SSU rRNA". It matches the Rfam family "Bacterial small subunit ribosomal RNA", at positions 165 to 787 of the family's 1533-position model. The record is from RNAcentral.